GGUCGCUAAGAGAGCAGCCCGCCCCCGAUUAGCUUGUUGGUAGGGUAACGGCCUACCAAGGCUCCGAUCGGUAGGUGGCCUGAGAGGGUGGUCACUCACACUGGGACUGAGAUACGGCCCAGACUCCUACGGGGGGCAGCAGUCUAGAAGCUUCCACAAUGGACGAAAGUCUGAUGGAGCGACGCCGCGUGUGGGAUGACAGCCGUGAGGUUGUAAACCACUGUCAGCAGGGAAGAAUGCCUUGAUGGUGAAUCAGGGAGAGACGGUACCUGCAGAGGAAGCCCCGGCUAACUCCGUGCCAGCAGCCGCGGUAAUACGGAGGGGGCAAACGUUGUUCGGAUUUACUGGGCGUAAAGGGUGUCUAGGCGGUUCGAUUAGUCUGGUGUGAAAUAUCCUCGCUCAACGAGGAAGACGCAUUGGAAACUGUCGAGCUCGAGAGUGGAAGAGGCAGGUGGAAUUCCUGGUGUAGCGGUGGAAUGCGUAGAUAUCAGGAAGAACACUCGUGGCGAAGGCGGCCUGCUGGUCCAUUUCUGACGCUGAAGCACGAAAGCCAGGGGAGCGAACGGGAUUAGAUACCCCGGUAGUCCUGGCCGUAAACGUUGAACACUGGAUGUCGGGGGUAUCGACCCCCUCGGUGUCGGAGCUAACGCGUUAAGUGUUCCGCCUGGGGAGUACGACCGCAAGGUUGAAACUCAAAGGAAUUGACGGGGGCCCGCACAAGCGGUGGAGGAUGUGGUUUAAUUCGACGCAACGCGAAGAACCUUACCUGGGCUUAAACCGCAGGGUAAACCCUCUGAAAGGAGGGCUGCUUCGGCAAUCCUGUAGAGGUGCUGCAUGGCUGUCGUCAGCUCGUGUCGUGAGAUGUUGGGUUAAGUCCCGCAACGAGCGCAACCCUUGCUCUUAGUUACCAGCGCGUAAUGGCGGGGACUCUAAGAGGACUGCCCUCGCAAGGGGGAGGAAGGUGGGGAUGACGUCAAGUCCUCAUGGCCCUUAUGUCCAGGGCUACACACGUCCUACAAUGGCCGGUACAAAGGGCUGCAAGCUCGCGAGAGUUAGCUAAUCCCAAAAAGCCGGUCCCAGUUCGGAUUGCAGUCUGCAACUCGACUGCAUGAAGGUGGAAUCGCUAGUAAUCGUGG
This 1136-nucleotide ribosomal RNA is filed under the name uncultured organism. RNAcentral's name for it is "bacterial SSU rRNA". It matches the Rfam family "Bacterial small subunit ribosomal RNA", at positions 213 to 1347 of the family's 1533-position model. The record is from RNAcentral.